Molecule: non-coding RNA, 778 nt
Organism: Phascolarctos cinereus (koala)
Lineage: Eukaryota; Metazoa; Chordata; Mammalia; Diprotodontia; Phascolarctidae
Source: RefSeq, a predicted model, not a curated record
AGUUUCCUCAUCUGUAAGAAAUAGCUGGAGAAGGAAAUGGUAAGCCACUGCAGUAUCUUUGCCAAGGAAACCCCAGCUGGGAUUGUAAAGAUUCAGACCCAACUCAAAAACAACUGAACAACAAUAGUAAAAAAGUUCCUAUUCUAUGGCUCAGAUUAAGAGAAAAGCCGAGUCUCGAGACUACUGCACGAAUGGUGAAAAUGACAUUAGAUGAAGAUGAAGAUGUUGGGGAUGGUGUUCAGACAGAGAUGGUCCUAGGACAAGUCUCCCCUCCGGAGGUCCCCCAGAGUGGCGGGAUGAUCACUUUUUGGCUACAUUAUGGGAGGAUUCCUUCAAUGUGGACACUGGACUACAUGGGGGCUGAGCUAGGUCCCUUCCAGCUCUGAUGUUAUGGGAUGUCCCCAUCCUGCCAUCAUUCUUUCAUAAUUAACAUUCCCCAGACCUUUCUGUAGGUGACUAAAAGGAUAGCGGCUGGCCGGGAGUGAGGUGUUGCACGGCUCCUGGUUCUUUCUCACAUAGUCUAUAGGAAUCACAAAGUCUGAGGUCCUCCUUAAGGGUAGCCCUUCUGUCUACGUCUGACGGCAAUGACCUGGUCUUGAAUUGCCACCAUAAAUCUGCACAAACAAAGCUGAAUGAUUUAGUCAUUUAUAUGCUUCUCUGUGAACAUGCUGUUAAAGCUGAAUCCAUGUGGAUGUCCCCACAGACAGUCUUUUGAUUCCAUUCUUGGGUCACGGCCAUUUGGUGGGUUCCAUCCAGAAAUAAACCAUUUUCACUUAUA